GCCAGUUUCUAAAUUGGUAAAGUAUCCAACGGAGAACCCAAAUCGAAGCUCCUUUCUCCAAAACUCCGAUGGUCUUUAUGUGUGAAAUCCAUGAUCCAAAUGAAACAUUUAUGUUCGUGCAAGGUGACAAAAUGCUUUUGGAAGCUCGAAUUUGAUGGGUACUUCUGUUAUAGUUGAUGUGUGUUGCAUCUUCUCUGUGUUCUUGAAUCUGGAGUUCCAUCUAUCAGAGUACCAGGACGGAUCUACUUCUGUGACCCGUGGCUGAUCGACAUUUCAGCUUUCUCUCGAGUUUCCAGGGUGAGCAUGGCGUCCACUGACCUUGAAGACCCUCCUAUCACAUGUCUUACUUUUAUUUCAGAGACAUAGACAUUAUGAAUUUCCAGACUGUAUUAUUCUCCUUAGAUGCUCUUAUAUUAUUCAGGCUAGACCUUAGGGGUGUUUAUUGUCUUCCGCACUUUUACUACUAUAUAUAUAUAUGUCGUGAGACUU
Molecule: long non-coding RNA, 489 nt
Organism: Lycium ferocissimum
Lineage: Eukaryota; Viridiplantae; Streptophyta; Magnoliopsida; Solanales; Solanaceae
Exons: 2
Source: RefSeq, a predicted model, not a curated record